Acanthosepion pharaonis is the source of this 99-nucleotide non-coding RNA. NCBI's taxonomy places the organism in Eukaryota, Metazoa, Mollusca, Cephalopoda, Sepiida, Sepiidae. The record is from the annotation of a GenBank genome assembly.
UUGAAACACCAGUUCCUGUAUGAUCAAUGAAGUUAAGCAACAUUGAGGCUGGUCAGUACCUAGAUGGAUGACUAGUUGGGAAUAUCAGGUGCUGCAAGC